AGAGUUUGAUCCUGGCUCAGAACGAACGCUGGCGGCGCGUUUUAAGCAUGCAAGUCGAACGGUAGACCGGUGCUUGCACUGGUUGAGAGUGGCGAACGGGUGAGUAACACGUAGGUAAUCUACCUUGAAGUUGGGGAUAGCCUGUGGAAACACAGGGUAAUACCGAAUAAUGUCGGGUAACUGAAGAAAGAGGCUAUGGCCUCGCUUUAAGAUGAGCCUGCGGCUCAUUAGCUAGUUGGUAGGGUAAAGGCCUACCAAGGCGACGAUGAGUAGCCGACCUGAGAGGGUGACCGGCCACACUGGGACUGAGACACGGCCCAGACUCCUACGGGAGGCAGCAGCUAAGAAUCUUCCGCAAUGGUCGAAAGACUGACGGAGCGACGCCGCGUGGACGAUGAAGGCCGGAAGGUUGUAAAGUCCUUUUAUUGGAGAAGAAUAAGUGCAGGAGGGAAUGCCUGCAUGAUGACGUUAUCCUAUGAAUAAGCCCCGGCUAAUUACGUGCCAGCAGCCGCGGUAACACGUAAGGGGCAAGCGUUGUUCGGAAUUAUUGGGCGUAAAGGGCGCGUAGGCGGCUAUGAAAGUCUGGUGUGAAAGGCCACAGCUUAACUGUGGGAGUGCACUGGAAACUACAUGGCUAGAGUUCAAGAGGGGAAGUUGGAAUUCCUGGUGUAGGGGUGAAAUCUGUAGAUAUCAGGAAGAACACCUGUGGCGAAGGCGGCCCCCUGGACCAAUACUGACGCUGAGGUACGAAAGCGUGGGUAGCGAACAGGAUUAGAUACCCUGGUAGUCCACGCCGUAAACGAUGUCAACUAGCCGUUGGGACCUUGAGGUUUCAGUGGUGCAGCUAACGCGUGAAGUUGACCGCCUGGGGAGUACGGCCGCAAGGCUAAAACUCAAAUGAAUUGACGGGGGCCCGCACAAGCGGUGGAGCAUGUGGUUUAAUUCGAUGCAACGCGAAGAACCUUACCUACCCUUGACAUCAUCAGAACUUGUUAGAGAUAACUCGGUGCCUUCGGGAACUGAAUGACAGGUGCUGCAUGGCUGUCGUCAGCUCGUGUCGUGAGAUGUUGGGUUAAGUCCCGCAACGAGCGCAACCCUUAUCCUUAGUUGCCAGCACAUAAUGGUGGGAACUCUAAGGAGACUGCCGGUGAUAAACCGGAGGAAGGUGGGGAUGACGUCAAGUCAUCAUGGCCCUUAUGGGUAGGGCUACACACGUGCUACAAUGGCCAGUACAAAGGGCAGCCAACUCGCGAGAGUGCGCAAAUCCCAUAAAGCUGGUCGUAGUCCGGAUUGGAGUCUGCAACUCGACUCCAUGAAGUUGGAAUCGCUAGUAAUCGUGAAUCAGAAUGUCACGGUGAAUACGUUCCCGGGCCUUGUACACACCGCCCGUCACACCAUGGGAGUGGGCUGCAAAAGAAGUGGGUAGUUUAACCUUCGGGAGAACGCUCACCACUUUGUGGUUCAUGACUGGGGUGAAGUCGUAACAAGGUA
RNAcentral lists this ribosomal RNA (1491 nucleotides) under metagenome. Its description in RNAcentral is "bacterial SSU rRNA". It matches the Rfam family "Bacterial small subunit ribosomal RNA". The record is from RNAcentral.